RNAcentral lists this ribosomal RNA (216 nucleotides) under uncultured Lactobacillus sp. Its description in RNAcentral is "partial 16S ribosomal RNA". It matches the Rfam family "Bacterial small subunit ribosomal RNA", at positions 146 to 355 of the family's 1533-position model. The record is from RNAcentral. Lineage: Bacteria; Bacillati; Bacillota; Bacilli; Lactobacillales; Lactobacillaceae.
ACCUAGGAAACAGAUGACUAAUACCGGAUAACAACAGAUGAUGCCUAUCAACUGUUUAAAAGAUGGUUCUGCUAUCACUCUUGGAUGGACCUGCGGUGCAUUAGCUAGUUGGUAGGGUAACGGCCUACCAAGGCGAUGAUGCAUAGCCGAGUUGAGAGACUGAUCGGCCACAUUGGGACUGAGACACGGCCCAAACUCCUACGGGAGGCAGCAGUC